This is a long non-coding RNA of Brassica napus (rape), 4017 nucleotides long. RefSeq lists it as uncharacterized. The record is from RefSeq and is a predicted model, not a curated record. The transcript is spliced from 4 exons. Lineage: Eukaryota; Viridiplantae; Streptophyta; Magnoliopsida; Brassicales; Brassicaceae.
UCGACACGUGUCAUGUACUCAGCGUUUCAUUAAUUUUGGUCGGCUUAUGGGCUUCAUUGUUACGGGCUUUAUCUGUAUUCUCAAAAUUGGUACAGCCCGAUUCCAGUAUGUCUUAGUUUAAACGCGUAUUAACUGUUUUUGCAAUUAGGGUUGAAGCAUACUUCUCCGCCAUUGGAGAUUGAGGCUUAACCUGUGUUCCAAGAGCGAGCGUUUCAUCUUCUUCCUUAUCAAUCUGCAGUGAUACCGGUUACAGAUUACCCCUCUUCAACUCUUUCUUAAAUACAUACCCAUGAUCUCUCUUGAAUGCGAUCUUAACUCAUGAAAGGUGGUGGAAUUUCGACUAUAAAAGGUUGCUCUGUUAUUGGGAGGCCAGGAACAUCGGAUGCGGUGGCGAACUCAUGGGAGUCGAUAUGUUGCUGCUUGAUUCCCAGAUUGUAAAGAAAGAUGAAGAUGUGAAAGUGAUUGUAGCAGGUGAUGACGAUUGGUUGCCUCCGUCACCAAAGGUUGUAUUCGAUGAAAGCAAAGAGUUAGGUGGAGAGUCUACCAUUAAAGCUGUGAGGUAGUUUUGUAUGUGUUGAGUAUUUUUCCAUCUAUGUGCUUACCAGCUUCAUAUUAGAAGCCACGGUUUGAACACUGCUAGCUUUAAUUUUUUAAUGCUCCUUGAUGAUAUCAUCCAAAUAGUUUCUGUGUUAUACUUUGAUUCUUAAGUUUUGAAUUGAAAUAUCCAAUGUAUUAGAAGCUAUGAUUUUGUAGUGCUUCUUAUGUUUCUAUUAGAAGCUACUAUUUUUUCCUCCAACGCUAUAUCUGUUCGUCGAUUUCACUCACAUAAAGCGAUUAUUUAGGACACAGCUAACCAUUUUUUUUUAAUUCGUCCUUAAUGACAUCACCCAAAAGUCUCUAUUAUUACACUUUGACCCUUAAGUUCGGAAUUGAAAUGUGCACUGCAUGUGGAAGAAGAUGAGCUCAUGUCAUUCACAAAAAUUAUAGUAGAUGCGAUGCAGGAAGCCAAGGUUUCUGCUAGCAAUGAAGCUGAAAUAUCUCAAAACAUUCUCAGAGGCAGCUGCUGCUCAGGUGGAUCUCAGAUCAUUAGAACUUUAGGACACACACAAGCUUUUAGCCGUUCUAAAAACAAUCAUCUCGGACUAAUUAACUCUUUCUUCCUAUCAUCUUUGGUUGAUGAUCUCUUCUUUCUCUUAGAUGAAUCGAACGAUGCUGUUGUUAAAAUCAGAUCCGCACAGCUUUCACCAAAGGCGUUGAACCACCUUAAACGCGACAACCAAAACACUGAUGGAAAACACAGGAGAGAAAGUUGGGGAUGCGUUUGGAGAUGCAGCAGAGUUGCUUACGUCUUCGGUCUCAAGUCCUCCUCCCUUCGUUGCACUCUUCACACUACAAAUUUACGCAAAGACAAUACAUCUAUUAUUAUUUUUUUGGGCAACGGCAAUACAUUUAUUUAAAAUAACGUUUAUAUAAUGUUCAAAAAAGUAACGUUUUUAUAUUAUAUAACUAGGGAAAGUGAUGACUUUCAAAACUAAAACAACGUCAUGUAUAUUUGUUUUCUUACUUUUAUAUUUUGGUUACUUUGAUCUAUUAAGUUUACCAGGAAUAUAAAUGAAGAACAAGAAAUACAAUCUAUUUUGCUUACUUUAAUAUAUUAAGUUUACCAGAAAUAGAUAACUCAUUCUUUUCAGUGUUCAAAUAUUCUUGCAGCUUGGAAUCUACUGAAGUGGAUGAUCUAGAGAGGAGAUUGACUUAGCUAUGAUGAAUCUGAAAGAUGAACCUACUUAUUUGUAGGUAUCACUCAUCAUGCAUCAAAUGAAAGCAGCUCCGUUGAUUAUUUUUAAAGUUGUGUUCUGUCAAAUAGUGUAAACAAAAUAUGUUUUAGAUUUUUUUCUUGAUUCAAAGAAUGUUUUAGGUUCAUGCCUCAAAUGAAAACAGCUCCGUCAUAUCAUUUAUGUAUUUUUUAUAAGUAUUGUAUUCUUCCUAAUGAUAGACAAAGUAUUCAGAUUUUUGUCUGGAUUUUAAGGCAUUCCUAUCGUCUAAUUCACCGUUGUUAGUUAGAAACUUGGAAUUCUGCUAAGCUAAGGACUCAGCAAAGAUAUUAGUGGUAUUUACCAUUUUAUCAGAUUCUUUAAAGUUUGAUUUUUAUAUCGUAUUCCUAGAUUAUGUAAUGCAGUGGCUGAUGCAGUGGCAAAAUCAGGUAUCUUCUGCAAAAUCAGGUGUUUUCACUAUAAACUUGACCUUCUUUUGUGGUGGGUAAACUUGCUUUUAUUUUAACUAAUCAUAGUUCCACCAAAAAAAUAAAGGAAAUCAAAAUAAUAUAAUCACUAAUUAUCCCUUGAAAACUAAACAAUAAUAUUUUUUAGAAAGUCCUUACUAUUUUGGAUGAUAUGGUUUAUUUGAUAACUAUAAAAUAUGUAAAUCUCUAAGCGAAAAAAUAAUAGGUAAAUUUUACUUUUUACAUAAUUUAAAAUAAUAUUGGAUUUCAAAGAGAAUGUAAAAAAAAUACUAACAAUAUAUAAAAGAGAAAAAACAUAUAUGUAAAUCUCAACCGCAAUUUUGAAUAAUGCCAGUAUAUAAAAUAAAAAUAAAAUUUCUUUAUUAGCUAGAUAAGCAUAUGAUUUCCAAUAAAAAUAACAAAACUGAAUAACAAAUAUAUUUAAAAUCAUUUUCAAGUUGAGAAUAAAUUAAAUAUUUUUUUCUUACUUCCCGCCCGUAGGGUGGGCCUAUCCUAGUUGUUAACGUACUAAUAAUUCAUUGUGUUUCUUCUGUCCUCAUGUACUGUGUUUCGAAAUGGCUGAAGCUGAGAGUCGUUCUGAUGGUUAUAGAAUAUUGAGUCGGUAAAAUCAGGUAACCAAUUGUAAUCUCUUUGGAAGGUUUGAUUUUUUUUAAAUAUAUGAUUCACAUGCAUAUAUGGCCCCAAUUGUAAUCUCUUUGGAAGGUUUGAUUUUUUUUUAAAUAUAUGAUUCACAUGCAUAUAUGGCGCAUCUAACAUCAAUGUAAUUGAUGUGAUGGUGAUGAAGACAAGUUGCGGAGGAUACAUUUAAUAUAGAAUUGGUGCUGGAAAUGAAGUAUGCAAGGAUUAAAAUUGAUGAUAAGAUUCACGACACAUUUAGAGAAUGUCUUUUUGCUUUAAUGAACGUUGAGAGAGAGAGGAAAAAUUUACAUGAAGAAAAGAAGAAAGAUAAAAGAGAUGAUAAAACAAGGUUCAAAUUUUAACCUCUCUCCUCUGUAUUUCUUCUCCGACCCCUCUCUCCGCCAAGAAAUAAACUUUCCGCUGACCGGCACGCGCUGGAUCUGAUAGCACCACCACCGUUUAGAUCCUCUGUAGAUUCUCUUUCUUUAUGUUUAGCCUUUUAUCGUUUUCAAUUUUGAUGAGUUUUGGGUCUGAUUUUUGAGAUUGUUCAUGAGCUUGGUGAGAUCUGUCUUCUCUCUAUGGUUUCCGUUGCAUGCCAGACCACGGUUCUUAUUGGUUUGUAGAUGCAGCAGAGUUUAUUUUUGGUUGUAGUGGCACUGUUGGUUCAAGAUCUCGAAAUGGUGGAGACGCAACUCGACGAUUGAGUCAAAUCGAUAGAGGAGAGUCAUUCAGAUUGCUAUGAGUCACAUCAAAACCGCUUAUUGAACCCGCCUUUAUAAGAUGCUUGUACAUAAACAAAAGAUAGACCGCCUUGGAGAAGAUAAACUCACAUUGAAGUCUAUUAGAUCGUGGUUGAUGGAGUUAAGAAGAGGAUUAAGGUGAUGAAUCAGUAAGUGAGAGCGUUUCAGAUUGUGAAAAAGAAGAUGAAACAACGCGUUUGAAACCUACGUAGAGAUUCUUAAAAUCGACAUACGCUUUGGAACGGCGGAGAACAAAAGUUCGAAGAACCCUAAUAUCAUGUCGGAGUUGCUUACUGAGACGCUUACGUUUGCAACUGCACUCUAUUGGGCUGUUCCUUCAGCGAAACAUAAGGCCCAAACACAAACUAAAACACACCUCUAUUGAAUUAUUAGUUAAUGAAACGCGAAGUUUUAAUCAGA